RNAcentral lists this ribosomal RNA (594 nucleotides) under uncultured Pseudozyma. RNAcentral's name for it is "eukaryotic LSU rRNA". It matches the Rfam family "Eukaryotic large subunit ribosomal RNA", at positions 81 to 657 of the family's 3401-position model. Lineage: Eukaryota; Fungi; Basidiomycota; Ustilaginomycetes; Ustilaginales; Ustilaginaceae. The record is from RNAcentral.
UAGUACGGCGAGUGAAGAGGGAAGAGCCCAAGAUUGAAAGCUGGCGCCUUCGGCGUCCGCAUUGUAAUCUCAAGAAGUGUUUUCCGCUUCGGACCAUGCCUAAGUCCCUUGGAAAAGGGCAUCAUAGAGGGUGAUAAUCCCGUACAUGGCAUGGAGCGCCCGAAGCUUUGUGAUACGCUUUCUAAGAGUCGAGUUGUUUGGGAAUGCAGCUCAAAAUGGGUGGUAAAUGCCAUCUAAGGCUAAAUAUUGGGGAGAGACCGAUAGCGAACAAGUACAGUGAUGGAAAGAUGAAAAGAACUUUGAAAAGAGAGUUAAACAGUACGUGAAAUUGCCAAAAGGGAAGGGUAGGAGGUCAGAGAUGCGUCGCAGGAUUUAGCCUUGCUUUUGCUUGGUGUUUUUCCUGCGUUGCAGGCCAACGUCGGUUUUGGGCACUGGAGAAGGGUAGGAGGAACGUGGCACCUCUCGGGGUGUGUUAUAGCCUCCUACUGGAUACAGCGACCGAGACCGAGGAACGCAGCGUACUCGUAAGAGCGGGCCUUUUGGCACCUUUACGCUUAGGGCGUUGGCAUAAUGGCCCUCUACCACCCGUCUUGA